GCAGACAGUCACACACUCAGUUACAGACAGUCACACACUCAGUUACAGGCAGACAGUCACAUACAGUCACAGGCAGACAGUCACACAUACACAUUUCCUCCAUGCGGCCAGUUUAUCAGCUGUUUGCUUGUGUGAGCUGUACUGGCCGCACGGCACCCUAACUACCAUGGGACACUGUGCGGCCACAGCUCACACAGCCCCCUCCAGCCAGGGCCGGUGCAAGGAUUUUUGCAGCCCUAGGCAAAAGUAAAGUUUGCC
Pelobates cultripes (western spadefoot toad) is the source of this 258-nucleotide non-coding RNA. The record is from the annotation of a GenBank genome assembly. Lineage: Eukaryota; Metazoa; Chordata; Amphibia; Anura; Pelobatidae.